Molecule: ribosomal RNA, 879 nt
Filed under: uncultured bacterium
Lineage: Bacteria
Description: bacterial SSU rRNA
Rfam family: Bacterial small subunit ribosomal RNA
Source: RNAcentral
AGAGUUUGAUCAUGGCUCAGGAUGAACGCUGGCGGCGUGCCUAACACAUGCAAGUCGAGCGAUUCUCUUCGGAGAAGAGCGGCGGACGGGUGAGUAACGCGUGGGUAACCUGCCCUGUACACACGGAUAACAUACCGAAAGGUAUGCUAAUACGAGAUAAUAUGCUUUUGUCGCAUGGUAGAAGUAUCAAAGCUCCGGCGGUACAGGAUGGACCCGCGUCUGAUUAGCUAGUUGGUAAGGUAACGGCUUACCAAGGCGACGAUCAGUAGCCGACCUGAGAGGGUGAUCGGCCACAUUGGAACUGAGACACGGUCCAAACUCCUACGGGAGGCAGCAGUGGGGAAUAUUGCACAAUGGGCGAAAGCCUGAUGCAACAACGCCGCGUGAGCGAUGAAGGCCUUCGGGUCGUAAAGCUCUGUCCCCAAGGAAGAUAAUGACGGUACUUGAGGAGGAAGCCCCGGCUAACUACGUGCCAGCAGCCGCGGUAAUACGUAGGGGGCUAGCGUUAUCCGGAAUUACUGGGCGUAAAGGGUGCGUAGGUGGUUUCUUAAGUCAGAGGUGAAAGGCUACGGCUCAACCGUAGUAAGCCUUUGAAACUGGGAAACUUGAGUGCAGGAGAGGAGAGUGGAAUUCCUAGUGUAGCGGUGAAAUGCGUAGAUAUUAGGAGGAACACCAGUUGCGAAGGCGGCUCUCUGGACUGUAACUGACACUGAGGCACGAAAGCGUGGGGAGCAAACAGGAUUAGAUACCCUGGUAGUCCACGCCGUAAACGAUGAGUACUAGCCGUCGGAGGUUACCCCCUUCGGUGGCGCAGCUAACGCAUUAAGUACUCCGCCUGGGAAGUACGCUCGCAAGAGUGAAACUCAAAGGAAUUGACGG